GAGUGGCGGACGGGUGAGUAAUGCGUAGGAAUCUGUCUUUGAGUGGGGGACAACCCAGGGAAGCUUGGGCUAAUCCGCAUAAGCCCUGAGGGGGAAAGCGGGGGAUCUUCGGACCUCGCGCUGGAAGAGGAGCCUACGUCUGAUUAGCUAGUUGGUAGGGUAAAGGCCUACCAAGGCGACGAUCGGUAGCUGGUUUGAGAGGACGACCAGCCACACUGGGACUGAGACACGGCCCAGACUCCUACGGGAGGCAGCAGUGGGGAAUUUUUCGCAAUGGGGGCAACCCUGACGAAGCAAUGCCGCGUGAAUGAAGAAGGCCUUCGGGUUGUAAAGUUCUUUCGUGGAGGACGAAAAGGGGGGUGCUAAUAUCGCCUGCUGUUGACA
RNAcentral lists this ribosomal RNA (384 nucleotides) under uncultured Acidithiobacillus sp. RNAcentral describes it as "bacterial SSU rRNA". It matches the Rfam family "Bacterial small subunit ribosomal RNA", at positions 93 to 477 of the family's 1533-position model. Lineage: Bacteria; Pseudomonadati; Pseudomonadota; Acidithiobacillia; Acidithiobacillales; Acidithiobacillaceae. The record is from RNAcentral.